CUUAUCCUGGGGAUUGGCUUUGGGCUCUUCCUGCGCAGCUUAGGUGGAAGGCGAAGAACGCCUCCUUCCGGGGGGGCGUGAGCCAUCAGUGAGAUACCACUCUGGAAGAGCUAGAAUUCUAACCUUGUGUCAGGACCUACGGGCCAAGGGACAGUCUCAGGUAGACUGUUUCUAUGGGGCGUACGCCUCCCAAAGGGUAACGGAGGCGUGCAAAGGUUUCCUCGGGCCGGACGGAAAUUGGCCCUCGAGUGCAAAGGCAAAAGGGAGCUUGACUGCAACACCCACCCGUCGAGCAGGGACAAAAGUCGGCCUUAGUGAUCCGACGGUGCCGAGUGAAAGGGCCCUCUCUCAGGGAUAAAAUUUACUCUGGGGAUAAGGGCUAAA
Molecule: ribosomal RNA, 384 nt
Filed under: uncultured organism
Description: bacterial LSU rRNA
Rfam family: Bacterial large subunit ribosomal RNA
Source: RNAcentral